This 254-nucleotide ribosomal RNA is filed under the name uncultured bacterium. Its description in RNAcentral is "partial 16S ribosomal RNA". It matches the Rfam family "Bacterial small subunit ribosomal RNA", at positions 524 to 776 of the family's 1533-position model. The record is from RNAcentral.
UACGUAGGGUGCGAGCGUUGUCCGGAUUUAUUGGGCGUAAAGAGCUCGUAGGCGGCUUGUCGCGUCAACUGUGAAAACCCGUGGCUCAACCAUGUGGUCUGCAGUCGAUACGGGCAGGCUAGAAUUCGGUAGGGGAGACUGGAAUUCCUGGUGUAGCGGUGAAAUGCGCAGAUAUCAGGAGGAACACCGAUGGCGAAGGCAGGUCUCUGGGCAUUAACUGACGCUGAGGAGCGAAAGCAUGGGGAGCGAACAGG